This 71-nucleotide transfer RNA is filed under the name archaeon. RNAcentral's name for it is "tRNA-Gly". It matches the Rfam family "tRNA". Rfam says of the family: Transfer RNA (tRNA) molecules are approximately 80 nucleotides in length. Their secondary structure includes four short double-helical elements and three loops (D, anti-codon, and T loops). RNAcentral also lists the same sequence under 3 other names. The record is from RNAcentral.
GCGGUAGUUGUCUAGUGGUAUGAUAUUGCCUUGCCAAGGCAGUGGCCCGAGUUCAAUUCUCGGCUACCGCA